Molecule: ribosomal RNA, 616 nt
Filed under: uncultured bacterium
Lineage: Bacteria
Description: bacterial SSU rRNA
Rfam family: Bacterial small subunit ribosomal RNA
Source: RNAcentral
CCUACGGGAGGCAGCAGUGGGGAAUUUUGGACAAUGGGCGCAAGCCUGAUCCAGCAAUGCCGCGUGAGUGAAGAAGGCCUUCGGGUUGUAAAGCUCUUUUGUCAGGGAAGAAACGGUGGUUCCUAAUACGGACUACUAAUGACGGUACCUGAAGAAUAAGCACCGGCUAACUACGUGCCAGCAGCCGCGGUAAUACGUAGGGUGCAAGCGUUAAUCGGAAUUACUGGGCGUAAAGCGUGCGCAGGCGGUUAUAUAAGUCAGAUGUGAAAUCCCCGGGCUCAACCUGGGAACUGCAUUUGAGACUGUAUGGCUAGAGUGUGUCAGAGGGGGGUAGAAUUCCACGUGUAGCAGUGAAAUGCGUAGAUAUGUGGAGGAAUACCGAUGGCGAAGGCAGCCCCCUGGGAUAACACUGACGCUCAUGCACGAAAGCGUGGGGAGCAAACAGGAUUAGAUACCCUGGUAGUCCACGCCCUAAACCGAUGUCUACUAGUUGUCGGGUACUUAAUUGUCUUGGUAACGCAGCUAACGCGUGAAGUAGACCGCCUGGGGAGUCGGUCGCAAGNUUAAAACUCAAAUGAGUGAGNGNGAGAGNGCGAGACGACGACGAGGGAGGAGG